This 459-nucleotide ribosomal RNA is filed under the name uncultured bacterium. RNAcentral's name for it is "partial 16S ribosomal RNA". It matches the Rfam family "Bacterial small subunit ribosomal RNA", at positions 338 to 795 of the family's 1533-position model. The record is from RNAcentral.
CCUACGGGAGGCAGCAGUGAGGAAUAUUGGUCAAUGGCCGGAAGGCUGAACCAGCCAAGCCGCGUGAAGGACGAAGGUGCCAAGCAUUGUAAACUUCUUUUGUCAAGGGACAAAAUCAGGCUCGAGAGCCUGACCGAGGGUACUUGAAGAAAAAGCAUCGGCUAACUCCGUGCCAGCAGCCGCGGUAAUACGGAGGAUGCGAGCGUUAUCCGGAUUUAUUGGGUUUAAAGGGUGCGUAGGCGGACUGUUAAGUCAGCGGGAAAAGCCCGGGGCUCAACCCCGGCGAGCCGUGGAAACUGGCUGUCUUGAGAUGUCGAGAGGUAUGCGGAAUGCGCAGUGUAGCGGUGAAAUGCUUAGAUAUUGCGCAGAACUCCGAUUGCGAAGGCAGCAUACCGGCGGCGAUCUGACGCUGAGGCACGAAAGCGUGGGUAUCGAACAGGAUUAGAUACCCCUGUAGUC